This 296-nucleotide long non-coding RNA is filed under the name Gallus gallus (chicken). The record is from RNAcentral. Lineage: Eukaryota; Metazoa; Chordata; Aves; Galliformes; Phasianidae.
CCACAUUGUACCACUCAGGAAAGUUGUAAGUUUGAAAAAUGCUACUUGUUUUGAUAAAGAAGGAAAAUAGUCUUGAGCCAGCACAAAAAAUCCUAUUAAUAACCCUAAUCUUUCUUAUUGUGUGCAUAUAAUCAACAAAUAGACACAGUGGUGUGGUUAGGCUGGUCUCUCCAGAUCAUACAGCUAGAAAGAUUAUCACAUUGGAAAGGGAUAAUCAAAAAUAAAUGAAAAUGCUCACCAGUGUUGUAGACUUGCAGAGAUUCUUCCCUGGUGGAGCUUUCCCCUGAGGACCUGGA